UCUGCAAUCGAUCCAAUUGAUCAACCAAUUUAUCCUAAUUAAUCGAUUGAAUCCUCAAGCAAUGAAAUUUCCAUAACAAAAUCCACUUUAUACUUUCCGUACGAACAAAACGUCAAGAUGAGUUUGUUAAUGAUGAAUUCUUUGAAAAUAUUUUGCAAUAUAGCAUUUGAAACAAAUUCAUUCUUCAUAAAUUCCGCUUAAUCGUCGAUGUUACCAAUUUUCUGUCGUACAGUAAAUUUAACAAGCGUGAAAAACUAAGAGCAUCCAUGCGAUAGGAUUAAGUAUGAACAUACGGGAACAAAUAAAUAGGCUCGCAAAUAACAAAGAAGCAAAUAACGAACGAAACAACAACAACGUGCAACGUGCAGAGCAGGUUAGUACGGCGAAUUUUACGAUACAUGUAAUUACCAGCGAACCUUCGAUGUAAAACAACGUAAUAUGACCAUCGGAAAUAUAUCCAUGGCGUAUUAUGAAAGAAGAACGUAGAGGCAUGCGCGUUUCUUAUAGAUACAUUACGCUUCGCACCCAAGCGAUAAGAGACGAUUUCGUUGUUCAACGAACCCGAGAUCCGUCAGCGCUCAUUAGCCCUGAUUAACUAGUGGAAAAUAAUAAGCACCGGAACACUUUUUUUUGCAGUCAAAGUGAACGAUUAGAUUCUUCUACAUAUGUAAUUUGUUUCAAUUUCCGUGAAAUGCUUAGCUCUGACGAUGAUCUCGAGUAAUGCAAAAGAAAAUGAACAAAAAAGAGAGAAGAGAGAGAGAGAGAG
Molecule: long non-coding RNA, 766 nt
Organism: Vespa mandarinia (Asian giant hornet)
Lineage: Eukaryota; Metazoa; Arthropoda; Insecta; Hymenoptera; Vespidae
Gene: Vps53
Source: RefSeq, a predicted model, not a curated record